CUUAACGGACCAGAGUGGACAACAAUGUAACCGGUGCGGAUUAAGUCAUAAAAAAGGAGAAUGCAAAGCAGCCAAUUCUACUUGUCGUGUGUGCGGGAAGAGAGGACAUUGGGCAUCUGUAUGCUGGAGCAGUGCAGGAACGAAGUAAACGACAAAGAGAAUUCGAGUAAAGUAAAGGGUAGUAUUAGACAGGAGAAAAAAGUAACUUUUCAAGAUAUUAAACAAAAAUUUAAAGUUAACGAUAGUAUUUUAUACAGAAUUACAAGUAAAGAUUUUGCAAAGUGGGUUCCUGGAAAAAUAUUAAAAAUUUUAAGUAAAGUAAGAUAUAUGAUUGCAGUUGAAAAUAGAAUCAUCCAGGCCCACGAAGAUCAGAUUAAAAUUCACAAGGGAAAAAUUCCCCAGAAAUAUUCUUUCAUUUUUGAAGAGGGGGAGGAAAUAAUUGAAGUAGAUGAUUCCUCAUCCUCAAAUUCGAAGUUUAGUACAGCAGAGUCAGAAGAGAGCGACUCAGAUUCACCUUUUCAUGGUUUCGCUCGAAAAUCAGAUAGGAUCCGCCGUCCACCUAGAAGAUUGAUGUAUCAUUGAAUUAUUGUUUGAUUUUCGAAGCAUGGGAGACCAACCAUUGUUAGUUUGUAAGAAAAUGAAGGAAAAGGCUUUUGAAAAAGGGAGUGGUGUUAUAUAUGAAAUAUAACAAUGAAAUCUAUGAAAUAUUGCUCCCUAACUUUUUAUAGCAAGUAAAUGUAUAAAAAGGCGCAAAGAGUGCA
Molecule: long non-coding RNA, 761 nt
Organism: Phlebotomus papatasi
Lineage: Eukaryota; Metazoa; Arthropoda; Insecta; Diptera; Psychodidae
Exons: 3
Source: RefSeq, a predicted model, not a curated record